RNAcentral lists this ribosomal RNA (765 nucleotides) under uncultured Planctomycetota bacterium. RNAcentral's name for it is "uncultured planctomycete partial 16S ribosomal RNA". It matches the Rfam family "Bacterial small subunit ribosomal RNA", at positions 67 to 810 of the family's 1533-position model. The record is from RNAcentral. Lineage: Bacteria; Pseudomonadati; Planctomycetota.
CGAGGAUAUAUCCUUCGGGAUAUAAGCCGAGUGGCGGAAGGGGGAGUAAUGCAUAGACAACCUGCCUUUAGGAUAAGAACAACUCUGUGAAAGCGGAGCUAAUACUUGAUAAUACAAAGAAAAGGAUCUUUUUUUUGUCAAAAAAGGGUAUUUAUACCUUUUACCUAGAGAGGGGUUUAUGUCCUAUCAGCUUUUUGGGGGGGUAACGGCCUACCAAGGCGAAGACGGGUAACCGGCCUUAGAGGGUAGUCGGUCACACUGGAACUGAGACACUGUCCAGACUUUUACGGAAGGCUGCAGUCGAGAAUCUUUCGCAAUGCCCGAAAGGGGGACGAAGCGACGCCGCGUGGAUGAAGAAGGCCUUCGGGUUUUAAAAUCCUGUCAGGAGUUAAGAAAUGUAGGGGCGAUAAUACCGUGCUUAUUUGACAAAGGCUCCAAAGGAAGCCACGGCUAACUCUGUGCCAGCAGCCGCGGUAAUACAGAGGGGGCAAGCGUUUUUCGGAAUUAUUGGGCGUAAAGAGCACGUAGGGGGAUUUUUUAGUCAGAUGUGAAAGCCUUUCGUUCAACGGAAGAAUUGCAUCUGAAACUACAAACCUUGAGUAUAGGAGGGGAGAGUGGAACUUUUGGUGGAGCGGGGAAAUGCGUAGAUAUCAGAAGGAACGCCGGCGGCGAAAGCGACUCUCUGGCCUAUAACUGACACUGAGUGUGCGAAAGCUAGGGGAGCAAACGGGAUUAGAUACCCCGGUAGUCCUAGCCGUAAACGAU